RNAcentral lists this ribosomal RNA (422 nucleotides) under uncultured archaeon. RNAcentral's name for it is "partial 16S ribosomal RNA". It matches the Rfam family "Archaeal small subunit ribosomal RNA", at positions 323 to 746 of the family's 1478-position model. The record is from RNAcentral.
CUACGGGCCGCUGCAGGCGCGAAACCUUUACAAUGCACGCAAGUGUGAUAAGGGGAUCCUAAGUGCUCAUACAUUGUAUGGGCUUUUGUUAAGAAUAAAUAUCUUAGCGAAUAAGUGGUGGGUAAGACUGGUGCCAGCCGCCGCGGUAACACCAGCGCCACAAGUGGCAACCACGUUUAUUGGGCCUAAAGCGUCCGUAGCCGGUUUGGAAAAUCUCUUGUGAAAUCGACAAGCUCAACUUGUCGGCGUGCUUGAGACACUACUAAACUAGAGACCGGGAGGAGUCAGAGGUAUUCCAGGGGGAGCGGUAAAAUGUGAUAAUCCUUGGAGGACCAUCUAUGGCGAAGGCAUCUGACCAGAACGGAUCUGACGGUGAGGGACGAAGGCUAGGGGAGCGAUCCGGAUUAGAUACCCUGGUAGUC